This 492-nucleotide ribosomal RNA is filed under the name uncultured bacterium. RNAcentral's name for it is "partial 16S ribosomal RNA". It matches the Rfam family "Bacterial small subunit ribosomal RNA", at positions 30 to 507 of the family's 1533-position model. The record is from RNAcentral.
AUUGAACGCUGGCGGCAUGCUUUACACAUGCAAGUCGAACGGUAACAGGCCUUCGGGUGCUGACGAGUGGCGAACGGGUGAGUAAUGCAUCGGAACGUACCCAGAGGUGGGGGAUAACGCAGCGAAAGCUGUGCUAAUACCGCAUGUGAUCUGAGGAUGAAAGCGGGGGACCGAGCAGCAAUGUUUGGCCUCGCGCCUUUGGAGCGGCCGAUGUCUGAUUAGCUAGUUGGUGGGGUAAAGGCCUACCAAGGCGACGAUCCGUAGCUGGUCUGAGAGGACGACCAGCCACACUGGGACUGAGACACGGCCCAGACUCCUACGGGAGGCAGCAGUGGGGAAUUUUGGACAAUGGGCGCAAGCCUGAUCCAGCAAUGCCGCGUGCGGGAAGAAGGCCUUCGGGUUGUAAACCGCUUUUGGCAGGAACGAAACGGUGUCCGCUAAUACCGGGCGCUAAUGACGGUACCUGCAGAAUAAGCACCGGCUAACUACGUG